Molecule: non-coding RNA, 30 nt
Filed under: Mus musculus (house mouse)
Lineage: Eukaryota; Metazoa; Chordata; Mammalia; Rodentia; Muridae
Source: RNAcentral
UACUUCUGUACUGAAUACAUCUAAAGGACC